Molecule: ribosomal RNA, 465 nt
Filed under: Vreelandella stevensii
Lineage: Bacteria; Pseudomonadati; Pseudomonadota; Gammaproteobacteria; Oceanospirillales; Halomonadaceae
Description: partial 16S ribosomal RNA
Rfam family: Bacterial small subunit ribosomal RNA
Source: RNAcentral
CCUACGGGGGGCUGCAGUGGGGAAUAUUGGACAAUGGGGGGAACCCUGAUCCAGCCAUGCCGCGUGUGUGAAGAAGGCCCUCGGGUUGUAAAGCACUUUCAGUGAGGAAGAACGCCUGGUGGUUAAUACCCAUCAGGAAAGACAUCACUCACAGAAGAAGCACCGGCUAACUCCGUGCCAGCAGCCGCGGUAAUACGGAGGGUGCGAGCGUUAAUCGGAAUUACUGGGCGUAAAGCGCGCGUAGGUGGCUUGAUAAGCCGGUUGUGAAAGCCCCGGGCUCAACCUGGGAACGGCAUCCGGAACUGUCAAGCUAGAGUGCAGGAGAGGAAGGUAGAAUUCCCGGUGUAGCGGUGAAAUGCGUAGAGAUCGGGAGGAAUACCAGUGGCGAAGGCGGCCUUCUGGACUGACACUGACGCUGAGGUGCGCAAGCGUGGGUAGCAAACAGGAUUAGAUACCCUAGUAGUC